AGUCUCCUGAGCAUAAGGAUGGGAACAGAAGAGCAUAACCUCAGAUGCAAUAGAAAGCAGCUGGAGAAGAUGAUUCUUAACAAAGAAAAGGAUCAGUAGGAGAACAGGAUUUGGCCCAUUAGACUUCAUUUGCAAUGUGGGGAGGUUGUGAAAAUACCACUUUUAAAAAGCUAGCUGCAAUCUGUCAUUUAAUUUCAAGAGUCCCUGCAGCACUGAGAUUCAGAUGUUCUGUCCCAUGUGGAAGUUAAAGGUGGCUGGACAAAAGAGAGAAGGACG
Molecule: long non-coding RNA, 276 nt
Filed under: Chloebia gouldiae (Gouldian finch)
Lineage: Eukaryota; Metazoa; Chordata; Aves; Passeriformes; Passeridae
Description: Erythrura gouldiae (Gouldian finch) lncRNA (ENSEGOG00005012876.1)
Source: RNAcentral